RNAcentral lists this ribosomal RNA (1435 nucleotides) under uncultured marine bacterium. Its description in RNAcentral is "bacterial SSU rRNA". It matches the Rfam family "Bacterial small subunit ribosomal RNA". The record is from RNAcentral.
GAGUUUGAUCAUGGCUCAGAACGUACGCUGGCGGCACGCCUAACACAUGCAAGUCGAACGAAGUAGCAAUACUUAGUGGCAGACGGGUGAGUAACAUGUAGGUAUCUGCCCUUUGGCCUGGAAUAACACGAGGAAACUUGUGCUAAUACCGGAUAAGUCUUUACGGAGAAAGCUUUAUGCACCAUUGGAUGAGCCUGCACUUGAUUAGUUUGUUGGUGGGGUAACGGCCUACCAAGACUGUGAUCAAUAGCUGAUUUGAGAGGAUGAUCAGCCACAUUGGGACUGAGACACGGCCCAAACUCCUACGGGAGGCAGCAGUGGGGAAUCUUGCACAAUGGAGGAAACUCUGAUGCAGCGAUGCCGCGUGAGUGAAGAAGGCCUUUGGGUUGUAAAGCUCUUUCGUCGGGGAAGAGAAUGACUGUACCCGAAUAAGAAGGUCCGGCUAACUUCGUGCCAGCAGCCGCGGUAAUACGAAGGGACCUAGCGUAGUUCGGAAUUACUGGGCUAAAAGAGUUCGUAGGUGGUUGAAAAAGUUAGUGGUGAAAUCCCAGAGCUUAACUCUGGAACUGCCAUUAAAACUUUUCAGCUAGAGUAUGAUAGAGGAAAGUAGAAUUUCUAGUGUAGAGGUGAAAUUCGUAGAUAUUAGAAAGAAUACCAAUUGCGAAGGCAGCUUUCUGGAUCAUUACUGACGCUGAGGAACGAAAGCAUGGGUAGCGAAGAGGAUUAGAUACCCUCGUAGUCCAUGCCGUAAACGAUGUGUGUUAGACGUUGGAAAUUUAUUUUCAGUGUCGCAGGGAAACCGAUAAACACACCGCCUGGGGAGUACGACCGCAAGGUUAAAACUCAAAUGAAUUGACGGGGACCCGCACAAGUAGUGGAGCAUGUGGUUUAAUUCGAAGAUACGCGCAGAACCUUACCAACACUUGACAUGUUCGUCGCGACUCUAAGAGAUUAGAGUUUUCGGUUCGGCCGGACGAAACACAGGUGCUGCAUGGCUGUCGUCAGCUCGUGUCGUGAGAUGUUGGGUUAAGUCCCGCAACGAGCGCAACCCUCACUUUUAGUUGCCAUCAUUAAGUUGGGCACUCUGAAAGAACUGCCAGUGAUAAGCUGGAGGAAGGUGGGGAUGACGUCAAGUCCUCAUGGCCCUUACGUGUUGGGCUACACACGUGCUACAAUGGUAUCUACAACAGGAAGCAAGACUGCGAAGUUAAGCAAAUCCCUAAAAGAUACCUCAGUUCGGAUUGCACUCUGCAACUUGAGUGCAUGAAGCUGGAAUUACUAGUAAUCGUGGAUCAGCGUGCCACGGUGAAUGCGUUCCCGGGUCUUGUACACACCGCCCGUCACACCAUGGGAGUUGGUUCUACCUUAAGGCAAGGUUUCAAACCCUUGACCACGGUAUAGUCAGCGACUGGGGUGAAGUCGUAACAAGGUAACC